ACUCAAAGGAAUUGACGGGGGCUCACACAAGCGGUGGAGCAUGUGGCUCAAUUCGAAGCAACGCGAAGAACCUUAUCCUGGAUUUGACAUGCACGGAUUAGUCCGUCGAAAGGCGGAUGACACUCUUGUAGUGGAACGUGCACAGGUGCUGCAUGGCUGUCGUCAGCUCGUGCUGUGAAGUGUCGGGUUAAGUCCCUUAACGAGCGAAACCCCUGUUACUAGUUGCUAACGCGUCAUGGCGAGGACUCUAGUGAGACUGCCGGUGUUAAACCGGAGGAAGGUGGGGAUGACGUCAAGUCCUCAUGGCCUUUAUAUCCAGGGCUGCACACGUGCUACAAUGGCGCAUACAGAACGAUGCAAGACCGCAAGGUGGAGCAAAUCGCUCAAAGUGCGCCCCAGUUCGGAUUGAGGGCUGCAACCCGCCCUCAUGAAGUCGGAAUCGCUAGUAAUCGCGGAUCAGCUACGCCGCGGUGAAUAUGUUCCUGAGCCUUGUACACACCGCCCGU
Molecule: ribosomal RNA, 506 nt
Filed under: uncultured bacterium
Lineage: Bacteria
Description: partial 16S ribosomal RNA
Rfam family: Bacterial small subunit ribosomal RNA
Source: RNAcentral